This 468-nucleotide ribosomal RNA is filed under the name uncultured bacterium. RNAcentral describes it as "partial 16S ribosomal RNA". It matches the Rfam family "Bacterial small subunit ribosomal RNA", at positions 28 to 507 of the family's 1533-position model. The record is from RNAcentral.
GAUGAGCGCUGACAGAAUGCUUAACACAUGCAAGUCAACUUGAAUUUGGGUUUUUUCACUUAGAUUUGGGUGGCGGACGGGUGAGUAACGCGUAAAGAACUUGCCUCACAGCUAGGGACAACAUUUGGAAACGAAUGCUAAUACCUGAUAUUAUGAUUAUAAGGCAUCUUAGAAUUAUGAAAGCUAUAUGCGCUGUGAGAGAGCUUUGCGUCCCAUUAGCUAGUUGGAGAGGUAACGGCUCACCAAGGCGAUGAUGGGUAGCCGGCCUGAGAGGGUGAACGGCCACAAGGGGACUGAGACACGGCCCUUACUCCUACGGGAGGCAGCAGUGGGGAAUAUUGGACAAUGGACCAAGAGUCUGAUCCAGCAAUUCUGUGUGCACGAUGACGUUUUUCGGAAUGUAAAGUGCUUUCAGUUGGGAAGAAAAAAAUGACGGUACCAACAGAAGAAGUGACGGCUAAAUACGUG